RNAcentral lists this small nuclear RNA (20 nucleotides) under Arabidopsis thaliana (thale cress). RNAcentral's name for it is "snRNA_07206". The record is from RNAcentral. Lineage: Eukaryota; Viridiplantae; Streptophyta; Magnoliopsida; Brassicales; Brassicaceae.
UAAUUCCUCGUACUGAAAGC